Molecule: long non-coding RNA, 608 nt
Organism: Mya arenaria
Lineage: Eukaryota; Metazoa; Mollusca; Bivalvia; Myida; Myidae
Exons: 4
Source: RefSeq, a predicted model, not a curated record
UGUCAUGUGUUUCGCAUGUGUGCCUUAGGUUCAGCUAUGUUUUUAUGGAAAGUAGACAUUUUAUCUGGUGGACGAGGCCGAAUUGCCGGGGAAAGGAAGUGACAGUGUCGUGAGCCUGGCCCACCACUACUUUCAGCACUAUGGUGUCGGUGAAAAACAUGCUGAGGUUUAUUUCGAUAAUGCUGUCGGCCAAAACAAGAACAAUGCUGUGCUUUGGUAUGCCAUGUGACCUGUAAUGACAGGACUGCAUGAGAGUGUAACACUAAACACUAUGUUGGCUGGGCACACCAAAUUUGCUCCUGACUGUCACUUCGGCAACUGGAAGGUCCAGUGGCGAUGUUGUAAUGCCGAGAAUCUUCAAGAAAUUGCCCACACUGUUUUCACCUCUUCAAAGUCCGGCCACAACAUCCCACACUUGGUUUAUGACCCUCAACAGCCAAUCACAGUUCACAGUUGGAAAUCAUUCCUAGAUACAUAUUUCAAAACUCUAAAGAAUAUUACCAAAUACCACCAUUUCUAUGUAUCAAAACAUAAACCAGGAGUUUAGUAUGCAAAGAGUUUGUAGAUUCCUCAGAAAUUGAAGUUAUUCUUUUGAGGAUGAGUCCAGA